AACGGCGAGUGAAGCGGCAACAGCUCAGAUUUGAAAUCCGGUCCUUGGACCCGAGUUGUAAUCUGUAGGGGUAGCUUCGGGCGCGGCGUCUUCUGAGUCCCCUGGAACGGGGCGCCAUAGAGGGUGAGAGCCCCGUACGGUCGACCGCUAAGCCUAUGUGAAGCUCAUCCGACGAGUCGAGUAGUUUGGGAAUGCUGCUCAAAAUGGGAGGUAAAUUUCUUCUAAAGCUAAAUACCGGCCAGAGACCGAUAGCGCACAAGUAGAGUGAUCGAAAGAUGAAAAGCACUUUGAAAAGAGGGUUAAAAAGCACGUGAAAUUGUUGAAAGGGAAGCGCCUGUGACCAGACUUGCGCUCGGCGGCUCCGCGUGCCUUCUGGCUCGCGUACUCCGCCGGGCUCAGGCCAGCAUCGGUCUUCGCGGGGGGACAAAGGCGCCGGGAACGUGGCUCUCUUCGGGGAGUGUUAUAGCCCGACGCAGAAUGCCCUCGCGGGGACCGAGGUUCGCGCUCUGCAAGGAUGCUGGCGUAAUGGUCAUCGGCGACCCGUCUUGAAACACGGACCAAGGAGUCAAACGUUUGUGCGAGUGUUUGGGUGUCAAACCCCUACGCGUAAUGAAAGUGAACGGAGGUGAGAGCCUUCUAGGCGCAUCAUCGACCGAUCCUGAUGUCUUCGGAUGGAUUUGAGUAAGAGCAUAGCCGUUUGGACCCGAAAGAUGAUGAACUAUGCCUGUAUAGGGUGAAGCCAGAGGAAACUCUGGUGGAGGCUCGCAGCGGUUCUGACGUGCAAAUCGAUCGUCAAAUAUGGGCAUGGGGGCGAAAGACUAAUCGAAUCAUCUAGUUGCUGGUUCACGCCGAAGUUUCCCUCAGGAUAGCAGUGUUGAACUCAGUUUUAUGAGGUAAAGCGAAUGAUUAGGGACUCGGGGGCGCCAUAUUGCCUUCAUCCAUUCUCAAACUUUAAAUAUGUAAGAAGCUCUUGUUGCUUAGUUGAACGUGGGCAUUCGAAUGUAUCAACACUAGUGGGCCAUUUUUGGUAAGCAGAACUGGCGAUGCGGGAUGAACCGAACGCGGGGUUAAGGUGCCAGAGUGGACGCUCAUCAGACAC
RNAcentral lists this ribosomal RNA (1099 nucleotides) under Achroceratosphaeria potamia. RNAcentral describes it as "LSU rRNA". It matches the Rfam family "Eukaryotic large subunit ribosomal RNA", at positions 85 to 1212 of the family's 3401-position model. Lineage: Eukaryota; Fungi; Ascomycota; Sordariomycetes; Pisorisporiales; Pisorisporiaceae. The record is from RNAcentral.